RNAcentral lists this ribosomal RNA (2834 nucleotides) under human gut metagenome. RNAcentral's name for it is "bacterial LSU rRNA". It matches the Rfam family "Bacterial large subunit ribosomal RNA". The record is from RNAcentral.
UGAAGUAAGUAAGGGCGUACGGUGAAUGCCUUGGUGCCAACAGGCGAAGAAGGACGCGGCAAGCUGCGAAAAGCCUCGGGAAGCUGCAAGCAAGCGAUGAUCCGGGGAUAUCCGAAUGGGGUAACCUGAUCGAGGCAAUACUCGAUCGUUCAUACCUGAAUACAUAGGGUAUGAAACGCGAAACCCGCUGAAGUGAAACAUCUCAGUAAGCGGAGGAAAAGAAAGAGAAAUCGAUUCCGUAAGUAGUGGCGAGCGAAAGCGGAUGGAGCCCAAACCGAAGGUAUUCCUUCGGGGUUGUAGGACCACGUCAUAUUCGACCAUACUGGAUAGUAGAACAGCCUGGAAAGGCUGGCCGGAGAAGGUGAAAGCCCUGUAGACGAAAUCCAGAGUGGGAAUUAGUGGCAUCCUGAGUAAUACAUCACACGUGGAACGAUGUAUGAACCCGCGCGGACCACCGCGCAAGGCUAAAUACUAGUUGGCGACCGAUAGUGAACAAGUACCGCGAGGGAAAGGUGAAAAGAACCGCUGUGAGCGGAGUGAAAUAGAACCUGAAACCGUAUGUCUACAAAGUGUCAGAGCAGAGCAAUCUGCGAUGGCGUGCCUUUUGUUUAAUGAGUCUGCGAGUCAGUGUUUGUGGCAAGACUAAGGGCUUCCGGCCCGGAGUCGCAGCGAAAGCAAGUCCGAACAGGGCGCAAUAAGUCGCAGGUACUGGACCCGAAGCGGAGGUGACCUACCCUUGGCCAGGUUGAAGCAUGGGUAAAACCAUGUGGAGGACCGAACAGGUGAACGUUGAAAAGUUCUCUGAUGAGCUGAGGGUAGGAGUGAAAGGCUAAUCAAACCCCGUGAUAGCUGGUUCUCUUCGAAAUGCAUUUAGGUGCAGCGUCACGUGCUGAUGCGCGGGGGUAGAGCACUGACAAGGCUAGGGGGCACACCCGCUUACCAAACCUUAUCAAACUCCGAAUACCGUGCAAUGGAACGUGGCAGUGAGACAGUGGGGGAUAAGCUUCAUUGUCGAGAGGGAAACAACCCAGACCAGCAGCUAAGGUGCCUAAAUAACGCUCAGUGGAAAGGAUGUGGGAUUACACAGACAGUGAGGAUGUUGGCUUAGAAGCAGCCACCAUUUAAAAAAUGCGUAAUAGCUUACUCAUCGAGUGAUCCUGCGCCGAAAAUGAUUGGCGAUCAAGCGUUAUACCGAAGCUCUGGACUUUGCCGCAAGGCAGAGUGGUAGAAGAGCGUUGCAUGCGCGUCGAAGGGCGAUGGCGACUGACCCUGGAGCACAUGCAAGUGAGUAUGCAGACAUGAGUAACGUUAAGCCGGGUGAAAUCCCCGGCCGCCGUAAACCCGAGGUUUCCAGGGCAACGUGUUUCGUCCCUGGGUUAGCCGGGACCUAAGCCGAGGCCGAGAGGCGUAGGCGAUGGACAUCAGGUUAAUAAUCCUGAGCUCGCAACCCUUAAACUGGGGGGACGCAUGAGAAAAGAUGACUAGGUUAUUGAAUUCCGAGUUGAGUCUACGGACUCAGCGCAUCAUUGGAUCGAGUGCCAAGAAAAGCCCCAGCGUAUGCUAAGCGACCCGUACCGCAAACCGACACAGGUGGGUGGGUAGAAUAUACCAAGGCGUAAGAGUGAAACCUGGUUAAGGAACUCGGCAAAUUAGCCCCGUAACUUCGGAAGAAGGGGUGCCUGCAGCGAUGCAGGCCGCAGAGAAAUGGCCCAACCGACUGUUUAUCAAAAACACAGCACUCUGCAAAGACGCAAGUCGAAGUAUAGGGUGUGACACGUGACCAAUGCCGAAAGAUUAAGGCAAGGGGUUAGCCGCAAGGCGAAGCUCUAAACCCAAGUCCCGGUGAAUGUCGGCCGUAACUAUAACGGUCCUAAGGUAGCGAAAUUCCUUGUCGGGUAAGUUCCGACCUGCACGAAUCGUGAAACGAGUUGGGCACUGUCUCAACCAGGCGCUCAGUGAAAUUGUAGUGGCGGUGAAGAUGCCGCCUACCCGCAGAAGGACGGAAAGACCCUAUAGACCUUAACUGUAAGCUGUCAUUGUUUCUUCGGUUUUAAUGCUCAGAGUAAGUGGGAGACGCUGAAGACGCCCUUUAGGGGGCGUCCGAGUCAUCAAUGAGACACCACCCUUUGAAACUGGAGGAUCUAACCCUGAGCCGUGAAUCCGGCCAGAGGACCGUGUCAGCCGGUCAGUUUUACUGGGGCGGUAUCCUCCCAAAGAGUAACGGAGGAGCGCGAAGGUGGGCUCAGCCCGGUUGGCAACCGGGUGUCGAGUGCAUGGGCAUAAGCCCGCCUAACUGUGAGACCAACAAGUCGAGCAGAUGCGAAAGCAGGCCCAAGUGAUCCGGCGGUAGAAAGUGGAAUUGCCGUCGCUCAACGGAUAAAAGGUACCUUAGGGAUAACAGGCUGAUCACGCCCAAGAGUUCAUAUCGACGGCGUGGUUUGGCACCUCGAUGUCGGCUCGUCGCAUCCUGGGGCUGGAGAAGGUCCCAAGGGUCCGGCUGUUCGCCGGUUAAAGCGGCACGCGAGCUGGGUUCAGAACGUCGCGAGACAGUUCGGUCCUCUAUCCUCUGUGGGCGUUGGAAAAUUGAGGGGUUCAGACCUUAGUACGAGAGGACCGGGUCUGACGCACCACUGGUGCAUCGGUUGUACUGUCAAGUGCAUGGCCGAGUAGCUAAGUGCGGACGGGAUAAGCGCUGAAAGCAUCUAAGCGCCAAGCCCUUCCCAAGAUGAGUUUUCCCUACAGGUUCGUGGAAGACCACCACGUUGAUAGGUCGCAGGUGUAAGUGCAGCAAUGUAUUGAGCCGAGCGAUACUAAUUACCAAUUGACUUCAUCAU